GAGGAUGCUAGGUUACUGCAUUCUACAAAUAUUUUUGUGGUUAAUUGUAAUAACCCAAAAUUUUAGGCUAGAAUGUAAAUCGUCCAUUCCUACAUGUAAGGUCCUGAAACCCAAUGACUCCUAUGUAAAUAUGAGUAUUAUUAUCAAUGAUGUAGUAUGGGAGUAUAGUUGUACAUGAAUUAGGAUCAUAGAGCUCCGUUAACUCAAAGACGAGGUAAAAUCUUUC
Molecule: long non-coding RNA, 226 nt
Filed under: Capsicum annuum
Lineage: Eukaryota; Viridiplantae; Streptophyta; Magnoliopsida; Solanales; Solanaceae
Description: long non-coding RNA (CANN_LNC010453)
Source: RNAcentral